GGCUGUUCCCCUCUGGAGGUUCAGACCUUCACACCUAAAGGGCCCAGGCUUUUGCUUGUGGCCCUCUUUUUUUGCCUGC
Molecule: small RNA, 79 nt
Filed under: Mycoplana dimorpha
Lineage: Bacteria; Pseudomonadati; Pseudomonadota; Alphaproteobacteria; Hyphomicrobiales; Rhizobiaceae
Description: suhB
Rfam family: Alphaproteobacterial ar15 (bases 1-70)
Source: RNAcentral